This 497-nucleotide ribosomal RNA is filed under the name uncultured bacterium. Its description in RNAcentral is "bacterial SSU rRNA". It matches the Rfam family "Bacterial small subunit ribosomal RNA", at positions 32 to 537 of the family's 1533-position model. The record is from RNAcentral.
ACAACGCUGGCGGCGUGCUUAACACAUGCAAGUCAAGGGGGCCCAGCAAUGGGCAACCGGCGAACGGGUGCGUAACACGUGAGCAACCUACCGAACUGUGGGGGAUAGCCGGCCUAACGGCCGAGUAAUACCGCAUACGCUUUCAGUGAGGCAUUUCACUGAAAGGAAACCUACGGGACAGAUCGAGGGGCUCGCGGCCUAUCAGCUAGUUGGCGAGGUAACGGCUCACCAAGGCAACGACGGGUAGCUGGUCUGAGAGGAUGGCCAGCCACAUUGGGACUGAGAUACGGCCCAGACUCCUACGGGAGGCAGCAGUGGGGAAUCUUGCGCAAUGGCCUAACGGCUGACGCAGCGACGCCGCGUGUGGGAUGAAGCUCUUCGGAGUGUAAACCACUGUUGCCCGGGACGAAUAGCUCGAUUAAUCGAGCCUGACGGUACCGGGUGAGGAAGCACCGGCUAACUCCGUGCCAGCAGCCGCGGUAAUACGGGGGGUGCGA